RNAcentral lists this ribosomal RNA (1355 nucleotides) under uncultured bacterium. RNAcentral describes it as "bacterial SSU rRNA". It matches the Rfam family "Bacterial small subunit ribosomal RNA", at positions 8 to 1366 of the family's 1533-position model. The record is from RNAcentral.
AGAGUUUGAUCCUGGCUCAGGAUGAACGCUGGCGGCGUGCUUAACACAUGCAAGUCGAACGAAACACCUUAUUUGAUUUUCUUCGGAACUGAAGAUUUGGUGAUUGAGUGGCGGACGGGUGAGUAACGCGUGGGUAACCUGCCCUGUGCAGGGGGAUAACAGACAGAAAUGACUGCUAAUACCGCAUAACACCACAGCACCGCAUGGUGCAUGGGUAAAAACUCCGGUGGUACAGGAUGGACCCUCGUCUGAUUAGCUGGUUGGUGAGGUAACAGGUCACCAAGGCGACAAUCAGUAACCGGCUUGAGAGAGUGAACGGCCACCUUGCGACUGAGACACGGCCCACACUCCUACCGGAGGCAGCAGGGGGGAAUAUUGCACAAUGGGGGAAACCCUGAUGCAUCGACCCCGCGUGAGUGAAGAAGUAUCUCGGUAUGUAAAGCUCUAUCAGCAGGGAAGAAAAUGACGGUACCUGACUAAGAAGCCCCGGCUAACUACUUGCCAGCAGCCGCGGUAAUACGUAGGGGGCAAGCGUUAUCCGGAAUUACUGGGUGUAAAGGGUGGGUAGGUGGUAUGGCAAGUCAGAAGUGAAAACGCAGGGCUUAACUCUGGGACUGCUUUUAAAUCUGUCAGAAUGGAGGGCAGGAGAGGUAAGAGGAAUUCCUAGUGUAGCGGAGAAAUGGGUAGAUAUAUGGAAGAACAGCCGGUGGGGAAGGCGGCCGUCUGGUAUGGAUUCUGACAGUGAAGCAGGAAAGCGUGGGGACCAAAUAGGAUUAGAUACCAUAGCAGUCCACGCGGUAAACGAUGUGAGCUAGGUGUGGGUCGAAUAACUCAGUGCCGCAGUUAACGCAGUAUAGUUCUCCGCCUGGGGAGUAUGCAGGCAGAGUGUGAAACUCAAAGGAAUUGACCGGAGCCCGCACAAGCGGUGUAGCAUGUGGUUUAAUUCGAAGCAACGCGCAGAACCUUAUCAGGUCUUGACAUCUCGAUGCCCGGCAUAGAGAUAUGUCUUUUUCUUCGGAAACAUCGGUGACAGGUGGUGCAUGGUUGUCGUCAGCUCGUGUCGUGAGAUGUUGGGUUAAGUCCCGCACCGAGCGCAUCCCCUAUUGUUAGUUGCUACGCUAGAGCACUCUAGCGAGACUGCCGUGGACAAACCGGAGGAAGGUGGGGACGACGUCAAAUCAUCAUGCCCCUUAUGACCUGGGCUACACACGUGCUACAAUGGCGGUCACCAAAGGGAGGCAAAGCUGGGAAGCGGAGCAAAUCCCCAAAAGCCGUCCCAGUUCGGAUUGCAGUCUGCAACUCGCCUGUAUGAAGUUGGAAUCGCUAGUAAUCGCGGAUCAGCAUGCCGCGGUGAA